Non-coding RNA from Microcebus murinus (gray mouse lemur), 524 nucleotides. The record is from RefSeq and is a predicted model, not a curated record. Lineage: Eukaryota; Metazoa; Chordata; Mammalia; Primates; Cheirogaleidae.
GAGAAGGAAAACAAUCAGCUCUGUUCUCUCAGGGCGGAAGGAGUGAGCUGCAAUGAGGGAGCGCACGCAAGCCCCAGCACACAGAUAAAUCUGACUUCCCCUCAAGUUAAUGGCUGGUACCAAGGCAAAAACCUCAAUUCCUAAGCACCAGGACUGUGAUAUUUUCUGUGCAGCAAACACUGGAAUGGCAAAAUGAUUUUUAUACAGCAUAGCUGGAGAUGGAGAAAUGAAUGGGAAAAACAAAAUAAUGCAACAUGAAGACAAACCAAAGUGUAGGAAUUGACUCUGAGAAGAGGCAAUGAUAAGGAUAAUUAAUGGAAGAACAGCACUUUGAGAAAGAAAGACAAAGAUCUAUGAAACGUCAUCAAAUACCAGAGUGAGCGUAAUCACAAAAUACCUAAUAAGAACAAAGAAUGAAGAGAAUUUUGUCUUUAGCCAAAAAGCCCAUUUGCCUCUUGCAAUGCAUACCUUUUCUUUGAAAAUCAGUACCAUAUUUUUUAUGGGCUUUAAUGCUUGAUUACUGA